Molecule: ribosomal RNA, 386 nt
Filed under: Acinetobacter sp. SM1B
Lineage: Bacteria; Pseudomonadati; Pseudomonadota; Gammaproteobacteria; Moraxellales; Moraxellaceae
Description: bacterial SSU rRNA
Rfam family: Bacterial small subunit ribosomal RNA
Source: RNAcentral
CGGCUAAACAUGCAGUCGAGCGGGGGAGGUUGCUUCGGUAACUGACCUAGCGGCGGACGGGUGAGUAAUGCUUAGGAAUCUGCCUAUUAGUGGGGGACAACAUUCCGAAAGGAAUGCUAAUACCGCAUACGCCCUACGGGGGAAAGCAGGGGAUCUUCGGACCUUGCGCUAAUAGAUGAGCCUAAGUCGGAUUAGCUAGUUGGUGGGGUAAAGGCCUACCAAGGCGACGAUCUGUAGCGGGUCUGAGAGGAUGAUCCGCCACACUGGGACUGAGACACGGCCCAGACUCCUACGGGAGGCAGCAGUGGCGAAUAUUGGACAAUGGGCGGAAGCCUGAUCCAGCCAUGCCGCGUGUGUGAAGAAGGCCUUUUGGUUGUAAAGCACUU